UUGCGCCCACAUCAUGUUCAAACCGGUUCCCUGUAUGAUCACUGAAGUUAAGUAACGUCGAGCCUGAUCAGUACGUAGAUGAGUGACCGCUUGGGAAUACCAAGUGUUGUAA
Non-coding RNA from Acanthosepion pharaonis, 112 nucleotides. NCBI's taxonomy places the organism in Eukaryota, Metazoa, Mollusca, Cephalopoda, Sepiida, Sepiidae. The record is from the annotation of a GenBank genome assembly.